This 751-nucleotide ribosomal RNA is filed under the name Mesobiotus harmsworthi. Its description in RNAcentral is "LSU rRNA". It matches the Rfam family "Eukaryotic large subunit ribosomal RNA", at positions 89 to 655 of the family's 3401-position model. Lineage: Eukaryota; Metazoa; Tardigrada; Eutardigrada; Parachela; Macrobiotidae. The record is from RNAcentral.
GCGAGUGAAACGGGACCAGCCCAGCGCCGAAUCCUUUCUGGCAACAGUGAAGGAACUGUGGCGUGAAGAARAUAUCUGCCGGUGUGGUUAGUUUGCGCAAGUUCUCCUGAGUGAGACUCCAUCCCAUGGAGGGUGCAAGGCCCGUACCGCAAACAGCUGAUGCCGGUUAGUGUCUUUCGGAGAGUCGCCUUAUUUGUGAGUAUAAGGUGAAGUCGGUGGUAAACUCCAUCGAAGGCUAAAUACGGCCGCGCGUCCGAUAGCGAACAAGUACCGUGAGGGAAAAUUGAAAAGCACUUUGAAGAGAGAGCGAAAUAGUGCGUGAAACGGCUCAGAGGCAAGCAGAUGGGGCCUCGAAGGCAGAGCAGCGAAUUCAGCCGGUAGUUUGUGCGGAUGGCGGUUACUGGGAUCGUAAGACCCGGUAAUUGUCAGUGCGUUGUACAACUGCUGGUGCACUUUCGUUGCACGAUACACAACCGCCGUUGAGCGAGCAUCCGUUGAGUUGGCAGCGUGGAGCCCUAUUCCCCUUAAAGGCGUAGGUGCUCACAGCCGGCUUCUAACGCGUUUGCGCCUCAACCGGUCAAGUUUACAUGUGCCAGCCAGCUUUGGCAGUGGGACCGGCUUGCUCCGAUUAGGCGUCAGGGAUGACGAACUUGUUCGGCUUCUUGGCGUCUGGUGGACUCGCUGUCGGCUUUCCACGUGGGCAUAUUGUUGAUUCGGUUGUGAGUAGAUGGCAGCCUAUCUAACCCGUCUU